GAUGAACGCUGGCGGCGUGCCUAAUACAUGCAAGUCGAGCGAACAGAUGAGGAGCUUGCUCCUCUGACGUUAGCGGCGGACGGGUGAGUAACACGUGGAUAACCUACCUAUAAGACUGGGAUAACUUCGGGAAACCGGCGCUAAUACCGGAUAAUAUAUUGAACCGCAUGGUUCAAUAGUGAAAGACGGUUUUGCUGUCACUUAUAGAUGGAUACGCGCCGCAUUAGCUAGUUGGUAAGGUAACGGCUUACCAAGGCAACGAUGCGUAGCCGACCUGAGAGGGGGAUCGGCCACACUGGAACUGAGACACGGUCCAGACUCCUACGGGAGGCAGCAGUAGGGAAUCUGCCGCAAUGGGCGAAAGCCUGACGGAGCAACGCCGCGUGAGUGAUGAAGGUCUUCGGAUCGUAAAACUCUGUUAUGAGGGAAGAACAAAUGUGUAAGUAACUAUGCACGUCUUGACGGUACCUAAUCAGAAAGCCACGGCUAACUACGUG
This 497-nucleotide ribosomal RNA is filed under the name uncultured bacterium. Its description in RNAcentral is "partial 16S ribosomal RNA". It matches the Rfam family "Bacterial small subunit ribosomal RNA", at positions 28 to 507 of the family's 1533-position model. The record is from RNAcentral.